GCAUUGGUGGUUCAAAGAUAGAAUUCUCAUCUUCCAUGCUGGAGACCCAAGUUCGAUUCUUGGCUGAUGGA
This 71-nucleotide transfer RNA is filed under the name Loxodonta africana (African savanna elephant). It matches the Rfam family "tRNA". Rfam says of the family: Transfer RNA (tRNA) molecules are approximately 80 nucleotides in length. Their secondary structure includes four short double-helical elements and three loops (D, anti-codon, and T loops). Further hydrogen bonds mediate the characteristic L-shaped molecular structure. tRNAs have two regions of fundamental functional importance: the anti-codon, which is responsible for specific mRNA codon recognition, and the 3' end, to which the tRNAs corresponding amino acid is attached (by aminoacyl-tRNA synthetases). tRNAs cope with the degeneracy of the genetic code in two manners: having more than one tRNA (with a specific anti-codon) for a particular amino acid; and 'wobble' base-pairing, i.e. permitting non-standard base-pairing at the 3rd anti-codon position. Lineage: Eukaryota; Metazoa; Chordata; Mammalia; Proboscidea; Elephantidae. The record is from Rfam by way of RNAcentral.